GACGAACGCUGGCGGCGUGCUUAACACAUGCAAGUCGAACGGAAAGGCCCUGCUUUUGUGGGGUGCUCGAGUGGCGAACGGGUGAGUAACACGUGAGUAACCUGCCCUUGACUUUGGGAUAACUUCAGGAAACUGGGGCUAAUACCGGAUAGGAGCUCCUGCUGCAUGGUGGGGGUUGGAAAGUUUCGGCGGUUGGGGAUGGACUCGCGGCUUAUCAGCUUGUUGGUGGGGUAGUGGCUUACCAAGGCUUUGACGGGUAGCCGGCCUGAGAGGGUGACCGGCCACAUGGGGACUGGGAUACGGCCCAGCCUCCUACGGGAGGCAGCAGGGGGGAAUAUUGCACAAUGGGCGGAAGCCUGAUGCAGCAACGCCGCGGGCGGGAUGACGGCCUUCGGGUUGUAAACCGCUUUCGCCUGUGACGAAGCGUGGGUGACGGUAAUGGGUAAAGAAGCACCGGCUAACUACGU
Molecule: ribosomal RNA, 467 nt
Filed under: uncultured bacterium
Lineage: Bacteria
Description: partial 16S ribosomal RNA
Rfam family: Bacterial small subunit ribosomal RNA
Source: RNAcentral